This is a non-coding RNA of Podarcis lilfordi (Lilford's wall lizard), 196 nucleotides long. NCBI's taxonomy places the organism in Eukaryota, Metazoa, Chordata, Lepidosauria, Squamata, Lacertidae. The record is from the annotation of a GenBank genome assembly.
UGCUUUUUUCUUUCUAUGUAAUCUUAAAAUUGGAAUAAAUAGUCUUUAAAAAAAAAAAAAAAAAGAGCAGCAGAGCGCGCAGUCUGUCCGCUUCUCCCAGAGCUUCUCGGGGCUGCGGGGGAAGUCCGCCCCCCCCCCAGCCCCAAAGAGCAAAGAAGCCAAGACAGCGAGCGGGAUGGAUCCCGCUCGCUGUCUU